AUCUAGCUGACGAGUCCCAAAUAGGACGAAACGUGUGUCAAACUGGAU
Molecule: non-coding RNA, 48 nt
Organism: Schistosoma rodhaini
Lineage: Eukaryota; Metazoa; Platyhelminthes; Trematoda; Strigeidida; Schistosomatidae
Source: Rfam